CUGACGCCUGCCCGGUGCUGGAAGGUUAAAAGGUGAGGUUAGGGGCAACCCGAAGCUUUAAAUUGAAGCCCCAGUAAACGGCGGCCGUAACUAUAACGGUCCUAAGGUAGCGAAAUUCCUAGUCGGGUAAGUUCCGACGUGCAUGAAUAGCGUAACGACUGGAGCUCUGUCUCAAGUGGGAACUCGGUGAAAUCGUAGUGGUGGUGAAAAUACCACCUUGCCGCGGCAAGACGGAAAGACCCCGUGAACCUUUACUGUAACUUGGCAUUGGCUCUUGGAUAAGUCUGUGUAGGAUAGGUGGGAGGCGUUGAGACCCGGACGCUAGUCCGGGUGGAGCCAUCCUUGAAAUACCACCCUGAUUUGUUUAAGAGUCUAACCGGGUCCCGUGAAUCCGGGUUCGGAACAAUGUCAGGCGGGCAGUUUGACUGGGGCGGUCUCCUCCCAAAACGUAACGGAGGAGCUCAAAGGUAGGCUUGGCACGGUUGGCAAUCGUGCUGUAAGGGCAAUGCUAUAAGCCUGCUUAACUGCGAGACCGGUGGGUCAAGCAGAUGGGAAACCAGGACAUAGUGAUCCGGCGAUUCUGUGUGGAAGGGUCGUCGCUCACCAGACAAAAGGUACUCCGGGGAUAACAGGCUGAUCGCUCCCGAGCGUCCAUAGCGGCGGAGCGGUUUGGCACCUCGAUGUCGACUCGUCACAUCCUGGGGCUGAAGGCGGUCCCAAGGGUUCGGCUGUUCGCCGAUUAAAGUGGCACGCGAGUUGGGUUCAGACCGGCGUGAGCCAGGUCGGUCCCUAUCUGCCGUGGCCGUAGGAUACUUGAGAUGGUACUUCCUUAGUACGAGAGGAUUAGGAAGUACGAGCCUCUGGUGCACCAGUUGUCCUGCCAAGGGCACCGCUGGGUAGCUAUGCUCGGAACGGAUAAACGCUGAAAGCAUCUAAGCGUGAAGCCUUCAUCAAGACUAGGUAUCCAUGUCCCUUCGGGGACGAGAGACCCCUGGAAGACUACCAGGUUGAUAGGCGGGAGGUGUACGCACAGAAAUGUGCUUAGCUAACCCGUACUAAUGGUCGAUCACUUGACCACAU
This 1080-nucleotide ribosomal RNA is filed under the name Phycisphaerae bacterium. Its description in RNAcentral is "partial 23S ribosomal RNA". It matches the Rfam family "Bacterial large subunit ribosomal RNA", at positions 1852 to 2925 of the family's 2925-position model. Lineage: Bacteria; Pseudomonadati; Planctomycetota; Phycisphaerae. The record is from RNAcentral.